GAAUAUUGGACAAUGGGCGGAAGCCUGAUCCAGCAAUACCGCGUGUGUGAAGAAGGCCUGUGGGUUGUAAACCGCUUUUGUCAGGGAAGAAACGGGUGUCUCUAAUACAGGGGGCUCAUGACGCUACCGUAAGAAUAAGCACCGGCUAACUACGUGCCAGCAGCCGCGGUAAU
Molecule: ribosomal RNA, 173 nt
Filed under: uncultured bacterium
Lineage: Bacteria
Description: partial 16S ribosomal RNA
Rfam family: Bacterial small subunit ribosomal RNA
Source: RNAcentral